AGGAAUGAAAAAUCAUAACAAGGUUUCCGUAAGUGCACCUGYGGAAGGAUCAUUU
RNAcentral lists this ribosomal RNA (55 nucleotides) under Tetraglochin cristata. Its description in RNAcentral is "partial 18S ribosomal RNA". Lineage: Eukaryota; Viridiplantae; Streptophyta; Magnoliopsida; Rosales; Rosaceae. The record is from RNAcentral.